GAUGAAGAACGUAGCGAAAUGCGAUAAUUAAUGUGAAUUGCAGAAUUCCGUGAAUCAUCGAGUCUUUGAACGCACAUUGCGCCUCAUGGCAUUCCGUGAGGUAUGCCAUCUCAGCGUUAGAAAAUAUUCUCAAAUUUUAGUUUUGUACUAAAAUUUGGAUCAUGUCAAGGAAGCUAUUACUAUUAUUGUGAUCGCUCUUUGGAAAUUGAUAGGUCUUUGAGUUGCUACUCAUAGAACGUGAUGAAUCUUUCUUCGUUCUAUUGUAAUUCACUCUGGUAGUCCUAAAACUUGUAUGCCUGUGGCAUAUCUUGUAAUUUGACCUGAGAUUGGGUAGGGAUACCCGCUGAACUUAAGCAUAUCAAUAAGCGGAGGA
This 373-nucleotide unclassified non-coding RNA is filed under the name soil metagenome. Its description in RNAcentral is "partial contains internal transcribed spacer 2 and large subunit ribosomal RNA". The stretch from base 1 to 119 matches the Rfam family "5.8S ribosomal RNA", at positions 35 to 154 of the family's 154-position model. The record is from RNAcentral.